This 774-nucleotide ribosomal RNA is filed under the name uncultured Neocallimastigales. RNAcentral's name for it is "partial large subunit ribosomal RNA". It matches the Rfam family "Eukaryotic large subunit ribosomal RNA", at positions 24 to 620 of the family's 3401-position model. Lineage: Eukaryota; Fungi; Neocallimastigomycota; Neocallimastigomycetes; Neocallimastigales. The record is from RNAcentral.
UAUGUGAUCGUCUCUCGCAUAUCAAUAAGCGGAGGAAAAGAAACUAACAAGGAUUCCCUUAGUAACGGCGAGUGAAGCGGGAAGAGCUCAAAUUUGAAAUCUUCAAGGUUUUACCUUGACGAAUUGUAGUUUAAAGAAGUGUUUUCUGUUGAAGUUUUGGUAAAAGUUCUUUGGAAUAGGACAUCAUAGAGGGUGAGAAUCCCGUAUUUGACCAUUAUUUUCAGCUGUGUGAUACACUUUCAAAGAGUCGGAUUGUUUGGGAAUGCAGUCCAAAAUGGGUGGUAAAUUUCAUCUAAAGCUAAAUAUUGGCGAGAGACCGAUAGCGAACAAGUACCGUGAGGGAAAGAUGAGAAGAACUUUGAAAAGAGAGUUAAACAGUACGUGAAAUUGUCAAAAGGGAAGCGUUUGACACCAGUGUUGUUUUCUCGAAAAUCAAUUAAAAAGAGUUAGAUUUUGUUGUGUAUUGACCUUAACAGCUUGCAUUUCAAUUUUCUUGCUUUUUUUAAUGCACUUUUCGUUUAACAAGUCAACAUCAGUUUCUUUUGUUGUAAAAAGGUCAUUGGAAGGUGGCUUUCUUUUCGGAGAAAGUGUUUAUAGCCUUUGACUCCUGCAAUCGGAGAGACUGAGGUCUGCAGCGUAGAUCCUUCGGGGUUAGAUACAUCUGUGCUAAGUUAUAGCUUUUUAUAGACAACUUGUUGACUAUGAUUAGUCUUGUAGCUUACUCGCUUAUGCUAUUUUACCUACGCUUAGGAUGUUGAAGAUGUAGCACAUCAU